Molecule: long non-coding RNA, 1590 nt
Organism: Pteronotus mesoamericanus
Lineage: Eukaryota; Metazoa; Chordata; Mammalia; Chiroptera; Mormoopidae
Exons: 3
Source: RefSeq, a predicted model, not a curated record
UGGCAGACACUCACUCCACAGCACACCCUCCUUCCCAUAAAGUGGUGAUGGCCUGAAUUUCUGGCACAGAUACUGGUGUCUGAGUGCUCCUACCAUAAAGCUGGAUCUGUGUCCCCAUGGAAAAUUCCACAUUGCAGAAAGCGGGGCCCGCUGAGCAGGAAUGCACGAGCGGAGCAUCAGGAGACCUGGCUUUGCCGUUCGGCAGCCCCAGGACUGUGGAGAGGGGAAAGGAAGGAGAAAGAAAAGGAGAGGAACAUCGAUUGGCUGCCUUCUGUACGUGCCCGGACCGGGGACCAAGCCUGCAACCCGGGCACAGGCCCUGGCUGGGAAUCACACCGAUGACCUUUAGGUUUUCUUUAUUUUCAGAGAGAGGGGAAGGGAAGGAGGAAGAGAAGGAGAGAACCAAACAUCGAUGUGGGAGAGAAACACCAGUCAGUUGCCUCUCACAUGCCCCCAGCUGGGGACCUGGCCCGCAACCCAGGCACGUGCCCCAGCAGGGACUCGAACCGGCAGCCCUUCGGCGUGCAGGCCAGGGCUCAGUCCAGUGAGCCCCACCAGCCAGGGCAGAAACCAAGUUUUCAACAAUCCAUCCCAUUAGCUCCUGGAGCACCUGACACCCACCUUAGGGCCACAAAGAGAGUCCUCCGAACGGCAACAACACCCAGAAAACAGAAAAGCUGCCUGGGAAGCUAAGUCCUGAUCAUGUUUGCACCGGGAUCAGGCCGUGCCUGAAGCUACCCCUGGACUGUGUAGUUACAAGAGCCUAAAAUUCCUGUUCUGCUGGAGCAACGGUAGAUUGGGGUUUCUGUGACUUACGACCGAGAGAAUCGUAAAUGACACGUGGCAGAGCUGUCCAGACACACACCCGCGGUGACUGCCCCACCACCACUGCUCACGUCAAAAGCCAAAGGCACCUUCUCACCAAGAAGGGUUGGCCCUAGGCCCCACCUGGCCCAAGACCGCGGACGCCCGCACCCACUGGCACACACACAUGCCGCAGACAGCACUGGGUGGGUUUUUAUUUUAACGUCAAAGGCACAGCCCCCCAGGUGAACGGAGGCAGUGACUGUAGAAGCCCAGCCCAGACCCCCAAGGCCCCGCUCCCACCACCCAACGGGGCGGCUGUGCCAAAGGGAAGGGGUGGGUAAUAAGGGGGCCUCCCCUUUUAGGAGGUCACCUGCUUCCUUCCUUAGCCCCAACAGGGGAGAAGCAGGUGAGAUAAAGUGAGGAAAUAAUGCUUCAGAGGGUCCCUUAGGGCCUCUCCCUGAACGCCACCCCCCCAACACAGGUCUUUGGUGGAUGAAAUUGCACAGACAAUCCAUAAAGUGACAGCUUGAGGGGCGUCCCCUCCCAAGAGCAGAGCCUUGGGGGAGGACAGGGGAGAGGUCCCAGUUUCUCCCUGUGGCAACUCAGUGCUUAGAAAUGGGGAGGAGCCCUUCCCUGCUGGAGGGGCCCCCUGCAGAAGCGCCUUCCACCAACAGAGGCAGUCUUAGCAAAGGGCCCCCACAUCCCACUCAGCGGUGGGCCCCCUCCCUCCCUGCAUCUCUAACUCUAUCUGGUAAGACAUAAAAAAUUCUCUGCUUAUAAAAA